CCAGGGCUGCACGCCGCCAACAACACACGCCGACAGUGUCGCGCACCGGCCAGAGACGCACGCCACCAGGGCUGCUGGCCGGAUCUCCAUCGACACCGCCCCUCAGGCCAUGGAUGCAAUGGCGUGGGCCUAAAAGGCAGCCAUAGGAGGGCUUGAGAUGCGGCGGCCGACGCGGGUUUGGGAUGUGGCGGCUGCAGCUUCCAUGACGACGGCCACUAGGUCGCCAAGGCUGCCGGCCACCAGGCUCACAGGUGUCGUUACGUACAAGAUGAUUUUUGGCUUCGGCUGAUUUGCUAAACCCAGUUCUAUGGGAAGCUGAAAGAUGUAAAAUUUCUCCUCAAGACUUGUGAUUAGUUGGUAGUGUAGCAUUGUGUGCUAAUUUAAUUUGAUUCUUCACUUCAGGAUUUGUGCACAAUUUCUAUUGUGGGAUUUCUUUAUCUAUUUACUGGAACAGUUGUAGUCGUUUGUUAGCACGACAAUAUAACUUUUAAGGUUUUGCCACAAGAAACGUUUUGUUUAAUAUUCCUCACUUAUGUUAUCUUGGGUUUCACUAAUGCCAUUUACAAAUUUGAUCUGGUGACAUUUCUUCAUAAAGAGAUGCAGAAGAAUAUCCAAAUUUCCUAUUCCAUUUGUACUGAAUAUUUGGUUGGAAAAUGUCGAUGUAAUCAGAAUGAAAUGUUGCCACUAAUUAUCAAUACUCCUAGCUGGGUCAUGCAAGAGCUGAUUUGCUUGGUCAUGCAAGAGCUGAUUUGCUUGGUCUUACCACUUACUUGAUUAAGUGAUGUUUUCUUUUUUGUAUUUUAUUUAAUGCAGGUGGUGGUUUUGAUAUGCUCAUAGAGAUGCUAAGGUAUAUAUGACCCUGAUGGAAUGUUUUGGCUAGAUUGUGGGCAUGCAGGACUUAAAAUGAUUAACAAGAUAUCAAAAGGCUUUGCUUUUUUUAUCUUUCACAUAGAAGCAAGAUGCACAAAGGUUUGUCUCAGUUAGAGUGCCUUGAUAGCUUGUCUCAGUCCUUCCUGUGAUCCAUGUGUUGCAGCCUGUCGUACUUGGGCCUUUUUUUUGUCUGGUUCAUGGUUUAGGGUCUCUUCUCUUUCUCAGUUUAUUUGUUUAUUUUUUGGUAGUUGAUAUCAUGCUUCAUAAUUAUUGAUUACCCAAGUUCCAAGCUUGCAGGGAACUAGCAAAAAACAUAACGGGCAAGUUAUCUGUAAGUAAUUAGCCGUUUUUCUUUCAAUCAAACUGAAGAAAUUUGAAACCUUCUUAUAGUUGUUUUGUUUCUUGAAAUAAUUGACGCUAGGUAUGUCUUUCCGUUUAUUUAUAAUAUAAUUUGCUAUUGGCAAGUUAUCAAGCCUGUAACACUGAUGCCUCAUAAGUCCAUAAUGUCUGGAAUAACAAGAGCAACUCAUGAAACCUAUAAUAAUUAACUAAAACCACAUAUUUUGUUAUGGUAUUUUUUAGGAGCAUUAUGACUAUGUCAAGCCUAUAAUGUUGAUUGGUUCAGGGGGAAAGGUUAUCCAUUGGUAUGUUUAUCAUGGUUUUUUUUGGCAGCAACCGGCAAGAACUCAUCAGCUUUUGGUUCAGCUGAUAUUGAAUAAGCUAGAAAGCAAUAUUGAGAAGUUUACUUUUGUAUAUGGUUAUCUAGGAUUACCAAGUUCACAUUGAUUUUGUAUUCUACCUGUUUGCUUCAUCUCUAUCCACUAACCCCCUAUUUCCAUACAAAUGUUGAUUCUAUAACUUUUCAAUUAGUUUGCAAGUGUGCUGAUAUAGCAGAACAACUAACUGAGAUGCCAUUUGCAGAGUCUAUAACUUUUCCAUAUCUCUAUGCCACAACAUACUGAUAUAGCAGAGUCUGCUGGAGGUCUAGCUGUAGAUGCCAUUUGCAAGUGUGACAUGUAAGUGUUAUUCUUGCAGGCAUUAAGCAGAGCAGUUGCUAGGCUAGCCUGACUAAGGCAUGGUUUAGAGGACUGAAACUUCAGUUUAUCAAAUUGGACAGGCAUGGUUCAGGGAAGUUAUAGAAGAAGAGUCCUCGAUGACCUCUUCCCUUGAGCAAGUGCUUCAAUGCAAUUCUGAAGGGGAGUUCCUUGAGCUUGUGACUAUGGCCUUGGAUUUUUGCCACUGAACUGUAUGACAUGAUGCAUAGCUGGUACUUUCAUGGUUGUUUCCAUGCAUGGUUCACAAACUGAAAACUCACAAAUUAUUACCUUUAUAGGAAUAUUGAAAUAUGAAUUGGCAAGAAGGAAAUCAAGGGUAGCAAAAGAAGGUCGCCAAGAGCUUUGUUCUCUGUUUGGAGUUCAAUAUCACUAACUGAAAAUAUUUGAAAACGUUGUUAUUAAUUCAUAGCUACCUUGUGAGGUUAUGAUGAGUGAAUGCUUAUCUCCCUUUUUGCAAACUGAAAGCUAUUACUUAGUUGUGCAUGCUGUUGUAGUUCUACACAUUCUGAAUUGUAAACAUGGAUGUUUUGUAACUUGUUGAUUUAGUUAUCAUGAUGCCGUAAAACUUCCU
Molecule: long non-coding RNA, 2496 nt
Organism: Sorghum bicolor (sorghum)
Lineage: Eukaryota; Viridiplantae; Streptophyta; Magnoliopsida; Poales; Poaceae
Exons: 4
Source: RefSeq, a predicted model, not a curated record